UAGGGAAUCUUCCACAAUGGACGAAAGUCUGAUGGAGCAACGCCGCGUGAGUGAAGAAGGGUUUCGGCUCGUAAAACUCUGUUGUUAAAGAAGAACACGUAUGAGAGUAACUGUUCAUACGUUGACGGUAUUUAACCAGAAAGUCACGGCUAACUACGUGCCCG
This 164-nucleotide ribosomal RNA is filed under the name uncultured bacterium. RNAcentral describes it as "partial 16S ribosomal RNA". It matches the Rfam family "Bacterial small subunit ribosomal RNA", at positions 355 to 511 of the family's 1533-position model. The record is from RNAcentral.